This is a long non-coding RNA of Capsicum annuum, 2499 nucleotides long. RefSeq lists it as uncharacterized. The record is from RefSeq and is a predicted model, not a curated record. The transcript is spliced from 3 exons. NCBI's taxonomy places the organism in Eukaryota, Viridiplantae, Streptophyta, Magnoliopsida, Solanales, Solanaceae.
GCCUACCUGACAUCUUCCUAAAAGGAGGUGGCAUAACAGAAAUAUUCUGUGAUUCUGGCCACAUAUUCAUAUUCAAAACUGAUUGAAUGAAGAAACCGUAUGUGUUCAUAAUGGUGACUCCGCUGGGGAAUGCAGAAGGUUCUAACCAUUUCAAAUUUAGGAACAUGCUAUACAACGUAGAACUGGCCUCUUAGCAGCAAACUGGGGCAAGUUAGCGAAAUGUCAAGCAUCCCUAGCUACGUCAAGGAUUCCGGCAAAGAAACUCAACUCGACUCAAAACUCUCAUUUUUUAUAAUCCUUAGCGUCAUCGCCUAGCAUCAUCUAAAUCCGACAGUGGGAAAUUUUUGAAAAUCCGCAAUAUCCUCUUCCCUCAAAAUCAUCAAAAGAUAUGACUAUCCAACAUCUCCUUAUUCCCAACUACCCCAAACAACCAUUCAGGGACAAGUACACCCGUAGCCAUUCCAUUCGUGCUAAAAUUUUGUUAUCAUCCUCGAAGAAAUUCAGUGUCACCAUAAUUCUUCAUUGGACAAAUUUUGAUAUUUAUCAAAAUUUUGUUAUGAUUCGAACUACAUUGACCUGAUUCUCGCGACACUCGAGAUAUGUAGGAAAUUUUAUGCAGAGUUCAAUCAUCACAAUCUCCCAAUCAUUCUUUCUCCCCUAGUACACAAUCUUUCAUCUCCAACAUUUCACAUCGAUACUGGGGCAAUUUGAAAAGAGCAUCGGAAAUAUAUUAACACUUCUGUUUCUAAACAGUCCUCUCCCCAAUAAUCAUUUCACAUGAUCAUUCAUUCCUAAUAACAAGGUAAUAAAUAAAUUGCCUAUUAUUUUAAAUUACACCUGAUUUGAUCAUCAUACCACUCGAGGUAUGUAUACAACUCUAAAUUAGAGUUUGAAUUUUUCUUUAAAAAAAAAAAGAAGAAGAAAAAAAAGAAAACAAAGAAAAAAUUAUUUUUUGUCGAGUAAAAUUGGCUACACGUCAACGUUUUCAUUUGAAGACUAAUAAAUCAUCCUAAAAUGAAAAGGGGCAACUGUUGAUACCUAAUUUUUGCUCUUCGUGCCUAAAAUUGACGUCUUCAGGCUUCCUGAUCAUUAAAGGGCAUAAAAUGUAAUUUUUUACUCCUUUUCACAAUUAUUUUUGAUAAAUUAUUGAUAAUCAUCCUUACUUUAGGAUUUUAAUCAAUUUGUUGUCACCUUUUUACUUUUCAUAAUUUAUUAAUACUUUUUCUUAUUUCGAAAUUUUUAUCAAUUUAUUAUCUUUUAAUAUUUUUAAAAUCAUCCGCACACGUGCACAACGUGACGUCACAUUUUUUUACAGUAUUGAGAUGAUUGAUGAAUAGUAAUGAUGAAUAGUAAUGUAGUAUUGAUGAAUAGUAAUAUACUGUAGAUGUGUAAUUUUGUCCAUCCCUGAAUAAUUAAUAUUUACUCAUUUUUAACCUCUCUGUACUCUACCCCACCUAUAACUUUCCCACCUAAUAUUCCAUCUACCACCUAACAUAAUUAUUUUUUUUACUACAACACCACACAUAUUCACACACUUAAUUUCAUAGAUUUUAGAAUUUUUAUCAUUUUAUUACAAUUUUAAUAUUUUUGCACAGUCAUCUGCGUACGUAUAUAAUAUAACACUGCAAUUUUUUUUACGUAAUUAUAAUUCUAAUUAUUUAUAGUAUAAAAUAUUUUUUAAGAUAAUUGUAUUAGUUCUUUAUAUUUUUCUAUAAUUAUACAUCGACAUCAUAUAUUUAUACAUUGUAGACACAUAAUUUUAUCUCUCCCCAAAUAAUUAUAUCUCCCAUCUACCCUUUCACACUUAACACUCCACCAACAAAUUCUACAAAAAGAAAAUGAGGGGCCCACAUCAUCAUAAUAUUCUACAUCCACCCAUCAUCUUCCCCAAUUUUCCUUCCUUUUUCAAAACAAUACACGAUACAUGUACAUAUUUUCUCCACACACUUUUGACCACAACAAAAUAUUCUUACACCUUUCCAACACAAUUACACCUCACAUAGGCCCACACAAUUAUUUUCACACCGCAACAAUUAAUAACAUUAUCUCCUUCAUUUUUUUUACACAGAACACACAUAGCGCACUGCCUAAGAAUUCACACACCUCACACACUGAUCUUCAACUGAAUACACACACGGUACAUACAAAGACAAAAAAAAAAAAAAAAUUGGUCAGAUCUUGUGUACUAACGUUGCUCCGGUGAAAGCUAUGGAAGCAACGCCUAACUGGGUCCUCAAGAAUAUUUGUCGGGAGUGACAUUUAAAGAAGACUUUGAACUUUAGUGUUGUAUUUCUAUAUUUUUAUACUUGUACAAAGUAUUAUCAUAGUGAAAACUUUAUUUUUGGGUGUUGGGUGGGGAUAUGUUUACUUACACAAUCUUUAACACACAUUUAGGCAAAUUUAGGCCGUUAAUUUUUAUAUCAAAUUAAUUGAGAUAUCUAAUCAAAUAAUUCAUAUUUUUUACACUAAAAACAUUAUAUAAUUUUUUUUCUUUAAAAU